RNAcentral lists this ribosomal RNA (260 nucleotides) under uncultured bacterium. RNAcentral's name for it is "partial small subunit ribosomal RNA". It matches the Rfam family "Bacterial small subunit ribosomal RNA", at positions 26 to 290 of the family's 1533-position model. The record is from RNAcentral.
AGGACGAACGCUGGCGGCGUGCUUAACACAUGCAAGUCGAGCGGAAAGGCCCUUCGGGGUACUCGAGCGGCGAACGGGUGAGUAACACGUGAGCAACCUGCCCCUGGCUCUGGGAUAGCCUCCGGAAACGGGGAUUAAUACCGGACAUUCACUUCCUUCCGCAUGGUUGGUGGUGGAAAGUUUUUUCGGCCGGGGAGGGCUCGCGGCCUAUCAGCUUGUUGGCGGGGUAACGGCCCACCAAGGCGACGACGGGUAGCCGG